AUCCAGCUGACAAGUCCCAAAUAGGACGAAAUGAGCACCCUGGAU
This 45-nucleotide non-coding RNA is filed under the name Schistosoma mansoni. Lineage: Eukaryota; Metazoa; Platyhelminthes; Trematoda; Strigeidida; Schistosomatidae. The record is from RNAcentral.